Molecule: non-coding RNA, 29 nt
Filed under: Mus musculus (house mouse)
Lineage: Eukaryota; Metazoa; Chordata; Mammalia; Rodentia; Muridae
Source: RNAcentral
UGAAUACUUUGCUUUUGAUACAGGGAGAG